Molecule: long non-coding RNA, 1606 nt
Organism: Cyprinus carpio carpio
Lineage: Eukaryota; Metazoa; Chordata; Actinopteri; Cypriniformes; Cyprinidae
Source: Ensembl
AGUAUUCUUUUUUCAUAAAAAAAUCAAUGCAUUUUUAAAGAAAUGGAAGCGUAAGCAUACCGCCGCUGUCAUUUCCCUCCAUCCUCCCCACCACCACCAGGUUGGCCCUGUCCAUGCGGGGGGUAGGCUCCGCCCUGCCUUCGUCUUCGGCAGGAUUAGCUGGUAUCUACAAACUUCAGAUCCACGCUACGGAUGGGGCCUAUGCCAAAAUAAUUAUAUUUUUUGUGUUGUUGUAAAUAAAUACUUCAGUCUUAUCUCUACCUCCUGAGUCUUUCUGGUAGAAAUUGUGAGACAUUGUGAGUAUGAUUUCAUUUAAUAAUUUAAUUAGAAUUGUUUUCACACCUAUCAUAGUCAAAACAUUAUUGUUUUUUAAAGAGCCGUUUGUGAGCCAAAAGAGCCGGCUCUUUUCAGUGAGCUGAGUCAAACGAGCCGGCUCAUGAAAAAGAGCCGAAAUGCCCAUCAACCAAUAAGAUUCCAUGUACGAUGUCGCGUUUUCAUUGGUCAGUCGUUGAAGCCUAUUUCUGAUUGGUUGUUGCCAUUUUGACAGCGUUUAUGCCAAGAGCAAAGAGAAAGAAAUCGAAGAGAAGAGCACUUGGUCAUGCGCGAACGCACGGGACACAGUCUAAGCACAUACACGCUUACUUUAAGCGAAGAGGAGAGAUUCGCGAUUGCACUUAACACGUUUUAAGUGCAGGCAGACUCUCUGAGCGAGCCCAGAGAAAAUUCUUACAAGAGCAACGUGUAUCUGAGAGCGCGCGCGCGCGAGCAGAGAGAUUCGCGCUCGCACAUUAUAUUAAUGUACUUUCGCGCUACAAUAAUGCGCUCUCGACAUUUGACAGGGAAAUAACGCCAUAGACAACCCCUUACUAACUGACCAGUUUUUGGCCAGAAUAAUUCAUGAAGCAAUGUCUCAGUGACAGUAUAUGUAUGAAAUAUGGUUUGGAAACUGUAAAGUCUUACUGAUUUCUCUUUCAUCUGAAUGGAUCUUUUUCAAUUUCAGUUGUGCCCUAUAACUGCAUUUUGGUAAGCUGCAAGUGUGAGAUCAUUAGGGGGGCCUGAAGCAAACACUGUAGGGGUCAGACAGAGAGGACACUGCCAAUCUCCUUCCUGAGAGAGGAAAUGCACAGACAUGCUGUCAGAUAGCAGACAUGCAGGACUGACAGCGAGAGAUGUGAAAUCUGGAGGUCAGGAGAAGUGUACGAGCCAUCCACAUUUGUGAAUAUUUGAGAAGGACGGAGGCUCUGUGGGAAUGGCCCAUUAGAGAGUGCAUGCACCCAGAGGAUAAUCAGAUACAGGGCAAAUUACCCCCAGCUGGACACUAGUCCUGCACUUUCAUGGAGCGUAAGAGGAAUGGAAAGACCUUUCCUGACUCGUGGGUGUGUGGGUGAUUGCAAUUGCGAUUCCAUACGGAAUGCUGAUUGGGACUCUGACCCUGACGCAGUUGGUAGGUAUGAUGGUUUAUGGGCCAUUUGACCGCAUUUAAUUCUGCGCACAACAGAGGCCCAUUACAGACAUGACUGCUUGGAGAUUUCAUCCCUUAACCCUCUGACUUUGUUUUUACAAUCUUCACAUUUCAGGAUUGAGCAUGAAGUAAGGUUACUGACAG